AUUUGCAAUUUUGCUUAAAAAAUCAGCUAAAAUAUUGAUUAUGAGACUUAUAGAAGUGAACCCUGAACUUGUUGGUCUUUGGUCGUAUUAUUUGAUUUAUUUCAAAGGGAAGUGUUUUAACUGCUUUUAAUCACACUCGGACAUCUUCACAUUAUCUUACCGAACUAUUAAAUAGAUAGCCUGAAGGCUUGGAAUUGUAUUUCGCUUAAAUUGUAAUCUAGCGCAAAUCUUUAUGAUUGUUAAUAUUAAACUCUUGCUUCGUACUAUUGAAUCAGCUAGCUCUUUGCAGGGAUUACUUCAAACUUAGUUUUGCAUCCGAUCCUCAGAUUGUGUAUCUGAUUUAAUUUAUGAGUUCAAACUAUAGUUGCAGAAAACCGAAUUACAAAAAGAAGUAGGAAGGAAACAUGACACUUUUUUAAUGUUUAUAAAAUAGUAAGAUAUCAAUAAAGCGGAACGAGUUUUUGUCUGAUACUACAAAACAAAUUUUAUCGAAAUGAUGAUUUCAGCAUUUUGCAUUGAUAUAAUUUUUGGACAAAAAAGCUUUUUUCCAAUGUUCACAAGUAGAAAUGGUAUCUAUUUGAACGAUAAGUUAAAUUCUUGACAUUAGAUUACUCUCAUAGCAUAAAAAAAUAUUGUAGGAUUUGACAAAUUUAAAGAAAGUUUCCCAAGAGUACUUGAUGCAGUGAAUCUUUGUCAAGUUUAUAUCGUUCACCUGAAGAACGAACAAUAAUUUCACAUAUUCCUUCCUCUUGAAAUCUUGAUCCUACAACUAUUACAAAUGGAUAUCCAAUCAACUCAGCAUCUCUCAUUUUAUAUCCAAAAGCUCUAUUUUGUCUGUCCUCCAACAGCACAUUAUCAAAGCCUACAACGUUAGCCGUGGCAUCGUAAACCGUUUCAGCGCUCUGAAUAUGAUUAUCAGAAGUAGGAACAACUAGUACUUUCCAAGGAGCUAUCGACGAUGGCCACACUAAACCCUUUGCAUCUUUGGUUACAUGAGCGACUGCAGCUAUAAGUCUUGAAACACCGAUUCCAUAACAUCCCAUAUGAAGGACUUCCUGUUUGUUUUUUACUUCUACCGUUGCAUUAAAUUUGGAGGAAUAAAUUUUUCCAAGAUAGAAGGCAUGUCCUACUUCAAUCGCGGUAGUUGAAGUUAGCUGAUCAUUGCAAUUAGGGCAUGAAAUAUCACUGGAUGUUUUAGACAAAUCAAGCAUUUCGGAAUUUGUUGAAUAAUGACAAGACGGACAUGUAUAGAUUACAUCUUCUCCCACAGGGUGUCGAUAAUGAAAUUCGUGUGAUAAGUUUCCUCCAAUAUUACCCGUAGCAGCUUUCACCAUCACGAAUGGCAAUCCCACUUCUUUGAAAAAAGUAUGAUAUGCUUGCAAAACAUCCUCGUAAGUUUUCAUAGCGGAUGCUUUGUCGAUAUCAAAAGUAUAAAGAUCCUUCAUCAUGAACUCUCUACCGCGAAGAAGACCACCUCGCGGACGUAAUUCAUCCCGAAACUUUCGACCUAUCUGGUAAACACGUAUCGGUAAUUGCUUUUGAGAAUCUAUGAUUGUAGCCAUAGUGCGAGUAACAUCUUCCUCAUGGGUAGGAGCAAGGCACAUUUCUCUGUCAUUUCGGUCAUGAAGACGAAAAAGUUCACUUCCAGUCUUUUGCCAUCUUCCACUUUUCUCCCAUAUCUCCUUACUAGAAAGAUGUGCCAAACUGAUCGCUGAAGCACCCAAAGAACGCAUUGAUAUGUGCAACAAGUCACAUAUUUUAUUUUGUACACGCAACCCCAGAGGUAAAUAUUGAAAAAUUCCAGGCAUAGACGGCUGGAUAAACCCCAUAUCUAUAAGUAACUGAUUCGCUGAUUCCGGGACAUUGUAUUUACGUAUCGCUUUCCCUAGCACUUCAAUCGAUGCACGAUUCCUUAAAUGUUG
Non-coding RNA from Schizosaccharomyces pombe (fission yeast), 1922 nucleotides. NCBI's taxonomy places the organism in Eukaryota, Fungi, Ascomycota, Schizosaccharomycetes, Schizosaccharomycetales, Schizosaccharomycetaceae. The record is from the annotation of a GenBank genome assembly.